RNAcentral lists this long non-coding RNA (1021 nucleotides) under Ananas comosus (pineapple). RNAcentral's name for it is "long non-coding RNA (ACOM_LNC036697)". The record is from RNAcentral. Lineage: Eukaryota; Viridiplantae; Streptophyta; Magnoliopsida; Poales; Bromeliaceae.
CUGAAGCAGUACUAGUAGUAGUAGUAGUAACAGAGGAGGUAAGUAUAACAACCGGGGAGAAGAAGAGAAGCAAUAGUAGUAGUUAGUAGAAGAAAAGUAGUAAAAAUCGCAACUUUACUAGUUAAAAUGGAGAAUAAAAGUGGCAGCAGCAGGUUGGUGAAGGAGCGAGCUCGGCAGGGUGAACCGGCGGGAAGGGCGCUCAGGCGAAACUCCGGCGGACGACGAGGAAGGACGGCGCUGCGGGCGCGGGCGCGAGCGCGAGAAGCCGACCCAGACCCACAGCGUCUUCUGGGAGACUUGGCGGCCGGCUCACGCCGCCAUCAGCAUGCCCCGCUUGAGGUCGACGCCGGCGUCGCAGGCGGGGGCGGCGGCGGUGGAGAAGAUGGGAGGAACGCGAAAGGAGAAGGAGGUUUCGACAGGAUCUAAGGAUUUGGGGAAGAUGGAAGCCUUGCGGGUCGGAUUGGCAGAUCUCCGGAGCGGAGGCUUAAGGCGAACCCACUAUCCGCAGGAUGAUGGAUAGUGCGGAGAAGGCGGACCCGCGACCCGUUCGUCCGCUUACCCGCUUAUCAUGCAAUUUCGGACCGAGCAAGCCAGCGAAGGCCCAGUCCGCGAGCGAAUUCCAGCCCAGCCAGCCGAAUUCCCAUUUUUACCUCUUUUGCAGUUUAGCCCCCCAUUGGAUAGUUUACUUUAAUUUCAGUACUAAGUUGUAGAGAGUAUAUAUACAAGAAUGUAAUUACAACAGGAUUAUGAAUGAAAUGAAUUAGUCUAUUUUCUCCCCCAAAAGUUCUUCUCCAAGCCCUUCUUCUUCUCCACUAUUUCUCUCCCAAUUUCUUAUCCCACUCUCCUCUAUCUCUAUCUCUAAUCUCUAUCCCUAAUUCUCUAUCUCUAUCUCUAUCUCUUUUCUCUUCUCUCAUCUCUAUCCUAAUUCUUUACCUGAGUUUUACCAGAAUUGCGGCGGCAACGCUAGUAGUAAUCCCCCUCAUCCCCGUCGCCGUCCUUGCCUCAGCGAAUCCUCAUCACA